CAAAAGAUAUUGUUUUAAAAAUUAAUACCAAGGGAGGGGACUCGUAUUCUGAAAAGGGAGAUGACUCUUGUUAGUUUUCUAACUACGGUGCCUCAGGAAAAAAAAUGCAUAUCAGUACACUUAUUUUCCAGGAGUAUGUAGGUACAUCAUGAACUUUUAAAAAUAUAAUUUAAAGCUGUUGAAAAUCCAUAAUAAUAUUUAGGAUGCAGUUACCAAAUUUUCAACAGGAGGUGAUUGUUCUCUUAAAGAAAAACCAUCCAGCUUGGAGACUGAAAACAUGCUUAGACAUUUUGUCAGAAUUCUUUAGUUCGAUAGCUACAAAUCAAUUUACCGAUGUUGUAGCUAUACUUAAAAGGGAAGGGUCACCUGCUGCAAAAGUUCAUAAACGUGGAUCUGGUACAAUCAAUUUCAAAUGGUCUGUGUUGGACCUUGCUGUCAUACUACCAAGACACAAAAGAGGACAUUCCAGUCAGCGUAAAAUUUACCGAGAACUACAGCAGUUAUCAAAAUGUAUCAACAUACAAUCCGAAUUAAAGUGCUAUAGAAAAAUUAAAUGCAAUUUUCUUACUGAAGCACAUCAAAAGGCACGAGAACAAAAAUGCCAGGCACUGAUAAAUCGUUUCGAAGGAUACGAUAAGUAGAAGUGUGGUUUCCGAUUUAUCAAAUUUCAGUCUUCAUUCACCUUUGAACUCCCAAAAUGAUCGCAUUUAUCGUGCUGUACAGGUUAAAACAAACAUUUCUGAGAAUGAUCUGCUGGUGGAAAUUGAUAAACAACAGCCAUAACUCAUAUGCUAUGAUGCAGUCUCCUGGUAUGGUAAAACAGAGUUGCGGUUUACUGAAGGAGAUGCUGUUGGGCAAGAACAUCUUCCGUCGUACAGAAGAAAGAAAAA
Molecule: long non-coding RNA, 890 nt
Organism: Octopus sinensis (East Asian common octopus)
Lineage: Eukaryota; Metazoa; Mollusca; Cephalopoda; Octopoda; Octopodidae
Exons: 2
Source: RefSeq, a predicted model, not a curated record